CUCCAUGAAGUUGGAUUCGCUAGUAAUCGCGCAUCAGCCAUGGCGCGGUGAAUACGUUCCCGGGCCUUGUACACACCGCCCGUCAAGCCAUGGGAGCCGGGGGUGCCUGAAGUUCGUUACCGCAAGGAUCGACCUAGGGCAAAACUGGUGACUGGGGCUAAGUCGUAACAAGGUAUC
Molecule: ribosomal RNA, 177 nt
Filed under: uncultured bacterium
Lineage: Bacteria
Description: partial 16S ribosomal RNA
Rfam family: Bacterial small subunit ribosomal RNA
Source: RNAcentral